This 253-nucleotide ribosomal RNA is filed under the name uncultured bacterium. RNAcentral's name for it is "partial 16S ribosomal RNA". It matches the Rfam family "Bacterial small subunit ribosomal RNA", at positions 524 to 776 of the family's 1533-position model. The record is from RNAcentral.
UACGAAGGGAGCUAGCGUUGUUCGGAAUUACUGGGCGUAAAGGGCGCGUAGGCGGUUUAAUAAGUUGGAUGUGAAAGCCCUGGGCUCAACCCGGGAAUUGCAUUCAAUACUAUUUUACUAGAAUUUGGUAGAGGUUGGUAGAAUUCCCAGUGUAGAGGUGAAAUUCGUAGAGAUUGGGAAGAAUACCCGUGGCGAAGGCGGCCAACUGGACCAACAUUGACGCUGAGGCGCGAAAGCGUGGGUAGCAAACAGG